Molecule: transfer RNA, 87 nt
Filed under: Paractinoplanes deccanensis
Lineage: Bacteria; Bacillati; Actinomycetota; Actinomycetes; Micromonosporales; Micromonosporaceae
Description: Actinoplanes deccanensis tRNA-Ala
Source: RNAcentral
GGCGUUGCUGGAAUAGGCCCAACGAGUCGUGAUCGUUGGCCACGCCCAAGUCGCCUAGGUUGACCAGGUUCGACUCUUGCAACGCCG